GCCUCGAUGGUGAAAUGGAUAAUCAUCUCUCGCUUCUAACGAGAAGUUCCGGGUUCGAAUCCUGGUCGGGGCG
Molecule: transfer RNA, 73 nt
Filed under: Planctomycetota bacterium
Lineage: Bacteria; Pseudomonadati; Planctomycetota
Description: Planctomycetes bacterium (marine metagenome) tRNA-Arg
Rfam family: tRNA
About the family: Transfer RNA (tRNA) molecules are approximately 80 nucleotides in length.
Source: RNAcentral